RNAcentral lists this long non-coding RNA (226 nucleotides) under Mytilus galloprovincialis (Mediterranean mussel). Lineage: Eukaryota; Metazoa; Mollusca; Bivalvia; Mytilida; Mytilidae. The record is from RNAcentral.
AUUUUCUUAAAAUUUGGACAAAGUAUUUACUUUGACCCUUUUACAAAAAUAUAAAAAUUUCAAAAAAUUUGAACCACCCGUUUUAUCAGAAAAAUUACACUGGUUAUAUAGCAGUUUGAUGAACACUUAUUUUGAUCAUUGAGAAGCUUGAUAUUCCCUUAACAACACAACGUAAUCAAAACGUUUAGCUGAUUUUACAGAGUUAUCUCCCUGUAGUGUAAGGUAC